ACAAAAACAACAAACACAAUGAAUCUCUUCAGCAACUUCAUCUGGAUUCUGGCAGCUUUUAUUCCAGCAUCCAGAGGAAUCACUGUGACUCAGCCUGAAGUUCUGACUGUUUCUGAAGGACGAGACGUCACUAUAGAGUGUAAAACUGAUGCU
Molecule: long non-coding RNA, 153 nt
Organism: Cyprinus carpio (common carp)
Lineage: Eukaryota; Metazoa; Chordata; Actinopteri; Cypriniformes; Cyprinidae
Source: RefSeq, a predicted model, not a curated record